UGGUUCCCUCGCAACGAUUAUCUGCAAACCCCGCCAGGCCCGGAAGGGAGCAACGGUAGUAGUGCCAUCGUGUGCCGAGGUGUGGCU
RNAcentral lists this signal recognition particle RNA (87 nucleotides) under marine eukaryotic metagenome. RNAcentral describes it as "Bacterial small signal recognition particle RNA". It matches the Rfam family "Bacterial small signal recognition particle RNA". From Rfam's summary of the family: The signal recognition particle (SRP) is a universally conserved ribonucleoprotein involved in the co-translational targeting of proteins to membranes. Archaeal SRP consists of a 7S RNA and homologues of the eukaryotic SRP19 and SRP54 proteins. The record is from RNAcentral.